RNAcentral lists this transfer RNA (76 nucleotides) under Staphylococcus aureus. Its description in RNAcentral is "tRNA-Asp". It matches the Rfam family "tRNA". Rfam says of the family: Transfer RNA (tRNA) molecules are approximately 80 nucleotides in length. Their secondary structure includes four short double-helical elements and three loops (D, anti-codon, and T loops). Lineage: Bacteria; Bacillati; Bacillota; Bacilli; Caryophanales; Staphylococcaceae. The record is from RNAcentral.
GGGCUCGUAGUGUAGCGGUUAACACGCCUGCCUGUCACGCAGGAGAUCGCGGGUUCGAUUCCCGUCGAGACCGCCA